This 514-nucleotide ribosomal RNA is filed under the name uncultured bacterium. RNAcentral's name for it is "bacterial SSU rRNA". It matches the Rfam family "Bacterial small subunit ribosomal RNA", at positions 8 to 518 of the family's 1533-position model. The record is from RNAcentral.
AGAGUUGAUCAUGGCUCAGGAUGAACGCUGGCGGCGUGCCUAACACAUGCAAGUCGAACGAAGCAUAGCGGAAUGAGAUUCGUCGAAGGAAGUUAUGACUUAGUGGCGGACGGGUGAGUAAUGUAUGAGCAACCUGCCUUUCAGAGGGGGACAACAGUUGGAAACGACUGCUAAUACCGCAUAAUGUAUUUUAAGGGCAUCCUUGGAAUACCAAAGGAGCAAUCCGCUGAAAGAUGGGCUCAUAUCUGAUUAGUUAGUUGGCAGGGUAACGGCCUACCAAGACUGCGAUCAGUAGCCGGACUGAGAGGUUGAACGGCCACAUUGGGACUGAGAUACGGCCCAGACUCCUACGGGAGGCAGCAGGUGGGGAAUAUUGGGCAAUGGGCGAAAGCCUCGACCCAGCAACGCCGCGUGAAGGAAGAAGGUCUUCGGAUUGUAAACUUCUUUUAUGAGGGACGAAGGACGUGACGGUACCUCAUGAAUAAGCCACGGCUAACUACGUGCCAGCCGCCGC